This 441-nucleotide ribosomal RNA is filed under the name uncultured bacterium. RNAcentral describes it as "partial 16S ribosomal RNA". It matches the Rfam family "Bacterial small subunit ribosomal RNA", at positions 338 to 795 of the family's 1533-position model. The record is from RNAcentral.
CCUACGGGCGGCAGCAGUGGGGAAUAUUGCACAAUGGGGGAAACCCUGAUGCAGCGACGCCGCGUGAGUGAAGAAGUAUUUCGGUAUGUAAAGCUCUAUCAGCAGGGAAGAAAAAAGACGGUACCUGACGAAGAAGCCCCGGCUAACUACGUGCCAGCAGCCGCGGUAAUACGUAGGGGGCAAGCGUUAUCCGGAUUUACUGGGUGUAAAGGGAGCGUAGACGGCGCGGCAAGUCUGAAGUGAAAGGCCGGGGCUGAACCCCUGAACUGCUUUGGAAACUGCCAUGCUAGAGUGCUGGAGAGGUAAGUGUAAUUCCUAGUGUAGCGGUGAAAUGCGUAGAUAUUAGGAGGAACACCAGUGGCGAAGGCGGCUUACUGGACAGUAACUGACGUUGCGGCUCGAAAGCGUGGGGAGCAAACAGGAUUAGAUACCCCGGUAGUC